RNAcentral lists this ribosomal RNA (545 nucleotides) under uncultured bacterium. RNAcentral's name for it is "bacterial SSU rRNA". It matches the Rfam family "Bacterial small subunit ribosomal RNA", at positions 777 to 1319 of the family's 1533-position model. The record is from RNAcentral.
AAUAGAUACCCGGGUAGUCCACGCCGUAAACGAUGAGUGCUAAGUGUUGGGGGGUUUCCGCCCCUCAGUGCUGCAGCUAACGCAUUAAGCACUCCGCCUGGGGAGUACGGUCGCAAGACUGAAACUCAAAGGAAUUGACGGGGGCCCGCACAAGCGGUGGAGCAUGUGAUUUAAUUCGAAGCAACGCGAAGAACCUUACCAGGUCUUGACAUCCCGGUGACCACUAUGGAGACAUAGUUUCCCCUUCGGGGGCAACGGUGACAGGUGGUGCAUGGUUGUCGUCAGCUCGUGUCGUGAGAUGUUGGGUUAAGUCCCGCAACGAGCGCAACCCUUAUUCUUAGUUGCCAUCAUUCAGUUGGGCACUCUAAGGAGACUGCCGGUGAUAAACCGGAGGAAGGUGGGGAUGACGUCAAAUCAUCAUGCCCCUUAUGACCUGGGCUACACACGUGCUACAAUGGACGGUACAAACGGUUGCCAACCCGGCGAGGGGGAGCUAAUCCGAUAAAACCGUUCUCAGUUCGGAUUGUAGGCUGCAACUCGCCUAC